This 486-nucleotide ribosomal RNA is filed under the name uncultured bacterium. RNAcentral's name for it is "partial 16S ribosomal RNA". It matches the Rfam family "Bacterial small subunit ribosomal RNA", at positions 28 to 507 of the family's 1533-position model. The record is from RNAcentral.
GAUGAACGCUGGCGGCGUGCCUAAUACAUGCAAGUCGAACGCUGGAAAUCUAGCUUGCUAGAUUGAAGGAGUGGCGAACGGGUGAGUAAUACAUAAGCAACCUACCCACGAAGACUGGGAUAAUCUCUGGAAACGGGGACUAAUACCGGAUAGGUAAUCGGAAGGCAUCAUCUGAUUAUUAAAGGUUAAAAACACUGGUGGAUGGGCUUAUGGCGCAUUAGUUAGUUGGUGAGGUAACGGCCCACCAAGACGAUGAUGCGUAGCCGGCCUGAGAGGGUGAACGGCCACAUUGGGACUGAGACACGGCCCAGACUCCUACGGGAGGCAGCAGUAGGGAAUUUUCGGCAAUGGGGGAAACCCUGACCGAGCAACGCCGCGUGAGUGAUGACGGCCUUCGGGUUGUAAAGCUCUGUUGUAAGGGAAGAACGGUAGAUAGAGAAUAUCUAAAUGACGGUACCUUACCAGAAAGCCACGGCUAACUACGUG